This 497-nucleotide ribosomal RNA is filed under the name uncultured bacterium. RNAcentral's name for it is "partial 16S ribosomal RNA". It matches the Rfam family "Bacterial small subunit ribosomal RNA", at positions 28 to 507 of the family's 1533-position model. The record is from RNAcentral.
GAUGAACGCUGGCGGCGUGCCUAAUACAUGCAAGUCGAGCGAACGGACGAGAAGCUUGCUUCUCUGAUGUUAGCGGCGGACGGGUGAGUAACACGUGGAUAACCUACCUAUAAGACUGGGAUAACUUCGGGAAACCGUAGCUAAUACCGGAUAAUAUUUUGAACCGCAUGGUUCAAAAGUGAAAGACGGUCUUGCUGUCACUUAUAGAUGGAUCCGCGCUGCAUUAGCUAGUUGGUAAGGUAACGGCUUACCAAGGCAACUAUGCAUAGCCGACCUGAGAGGGUGAUCGGCCACACUGGAACUGAGACACGGUCCAGACUCCUACGGGAGGCAGCAGUAGGGAAUCUUCCGCAAUGGGCGAAAGCCUGACGGAGCAACGCCGCGUGAGUGAUGAAGGUCUUCGGAUCGUAAAACUCUGUUAUUAGGGAAGAACAUAUGUGUAAGUAACUGUGCACAUCUUGACGGUACCUAAUCAGAAAGCCACGGCUAACUACGUG